RNAcentral lists this long non-coding RNA (373 nucleotides) under Oryza sativa (Asian cultivated rice). Its description in RNAcentral is "long non-coding RNA (OSAT_LNC001671)". The record is from RNAcentral. Lineage: Eukaryota; Viridiplantae; Streptophyta; Magnoliopsida; Poales; Poaceae.
UUGGCAAGGUACCAUCGCUUAUAUGAUGAAAUAUGAUUCUGUUCUUAUCUUCUCAAAUGUGACUUAAUAGAUUUUUCUUCUGGAACCUUUCCAGGUUGUUGUGUGCAUUGAUCCGUCAUACAGUCAGACCCUUGCUAAGCUAUAGUCUGUGGACAUGAGAUACAUCAUAUUUCAUCGUCUAGUCACGAGGAAGAACAGUGCAAAAAAGACAAUUACACAGGCUAUCGGCAUACCGUACAACCUUGGGCUUCUUGCUCCGUUUUGUUGUCUGUGUGCGUAGCUGAAACAUUCCCAUAUUUACCCCAGCCGGGAGAAACCGAAUAACUGCAUAUGUUGUAUAGCUCAGUUGUCUGAGUUUGUGGGAAUAGCUCAA